Molecule: long non-coding RNA, 1789 nt
Organism: Aethalodelphis obliquidens (Pacific white-sided dolphin)
Lineage: Eukaryota; Metazoa; Chordata; Mammalia; Artiodactyla; Delphinidae
Exons: 3
Source: RefSeq, a predicted model, not a curated record
UUUGUCUGCUAGGAAAUCCCUUCAGCAGUAAAACGGCUCUCUGAGAAACCACACUUUUUUACACUACAAGUGAUUUUUUCCUCAUAAGAAUGAUUUACUCUAGCUCCUUUAAAGCCUAGCCUUGGGUCCUGUGGAGAGCAGCUCUUCUCUACCAGCUCCUGGGGACCUCAUUCUUUCCAGCACUUUCAAGAGGAAGUGAGAGCAACCCCCAGCCAGGAAACCACCCAGCAUAAGUGUAUGAUCUGAUGGCUCACGUCCUACAGGCCCAGGGGGAAAAACAGAUCACCUUUUCUAAAGGGAAAGAUACUGCAGUUCCACCCAGCAGCAGGAAAUAUCGAUUGCUUCAUAAAACAGAGCUCAGGAAGGAUUCAGGCCCUGGCACUGCCUGCAUGUUUCUGAAGCAGAUCCCUCGCCCCGCUGCCCUCAGUUUCCGUCUGUGAAAUUCCAUCAAUAAUUCUUGAACCUUUAUCAUAUCAAAAACAUGUUAUACUGGUAUUAUGUAAGAAUUAGAUAAUAAAAUUAUAGAGCUGGAAAAGAUCUUAGAGAUCACCUAGUCCAGUGUCUUUGUUUGGAAGACUGAAAAACACAGGCCAAAAGAAGGAAGUGACAUGCAGUGUUAUGAAAUUAGUUCAUAGACUUUAAACACACGAUGCUGAACAACAGCUUGCUAAUCAGCUUUGUCACUAACGUGCCUUUUCCUAGUUUAUCCUAUGCUUGAUAAUAAGCCUUAUUGGCCAGGAAAGCAACUUUCUUUCUCCAAGGAAGGAAUUCCCCUCACCCAAGGACUAUGUUUUCAGAAGUGUUUCCCUUUACUAAGAAUCCAAUGGUCUUGUAAUAGAACCUGAGUCACCCAAUGCCACGUGCCUCUCGUAGGGACACAGGAUGAAAUUCAACAGGCUGAAGGUCUGGGGUCUGCUCUCAAAUGUGAGUGGGCCUGUCUUUGACUUAAGCCUGGCUGUGCGCGCACAGCCUCAAGAGCUGUGAGCAGUAGAGAUUGUUAGGAAUUUCUUCUUUGAACAGAUCUAGUGUUUCCCAGGUUGGAAUGUAAACCCAUUCAUUUGUCAUUCAUUCACUUACGCACAAGAACUUAAUAAAAGCCCAUUUUUUGCUAAGCCCCUGAGAGCUGAUAAGACUGCUACAAGGAGUAGGACCCAGCAACAAGGAGCCUCAGAAGGAACCAGCAGUGUAAACACUUAUGUGCAGUAGAGCACUGUGGGGACUAGGAUGGAAGGAGGAGAUGGUCAAUUUGCCUGGGUUGGGAUUUAAGGAAUCAGGAAAAUGUCAUAGAGGAGGUGAUACUUGAGCUGAGCUUUGGGAAAUGAAGGUUAUUUUCCAGGUGGAAGUGAGGCAAGUACGUGGCAUUCAGACAGAGAGUGAGCCUGGCGUUUGGGGGGAAAAGAAAGAAAAUUUUGGUCUGCAUCGUAUGAGGAAGCAUCAUACUAAAUUGGAAAGUUAGUAUGAUGUGAAACAUUAUAUGACAAAGGAAGAAGUUUAGAUUUUAUUGUGGCAGCUCAUGGGAACCUUUGAAGAGUUUCAAGCAGGGAAGUAACGUGAUCUAAACUGCAGUUUUGAAAGAUGGCUCCAAUGGCAGUGUAGAAGAUAGAAUGGGGAAGAGGUAGGAAGAAGCAAGACCCAAGGCAAGUAGACAAUACAAAAAUUUAGGUGAGACAAGACAGCUGACUCAGUCUCUUCAAAGAGUCAGUGGAGGGAAUUCCCUGGUGGUCCAGUGGUUAAGACUGCACUUCCACUACAGGGGGUCUGGGUUCAAUCCCUGGUCAAGGAACUAAGA